RNAcentral lists this ribosomal RNA (885 nucleotides) under Triticum aestivum (bread wheat). RNAcentral describes it as "partial small subunit ribosomal RNA". Lineage: Eukaryota; Viridiplantae; Streptophyta; Magnoliopsida; Poales; Poaceae. The record is from RNAcentral.
AUGGACGCCGGCGUGGGUCUCCGGCCGAGGCCCCGUGCAGCAUGGGCCGGACGACGGAAGCCGCAGGGAUUCCCUCCGGCGACAGUGCCGGCGGCGAGGCUUGAUCAGAAUCCGGCGCGGCGGCCGCUGGUCCUGCGCCCCGAUGCCAUCCGUGGCGCCAGCCUCAAGGGCCUGUGCUGCCACAAAUCGGCAGGAGACACGAGUAACCAAGGUACUGAGAAAGUCCACUAUUCUGCUGAUGAUGCUCUCCUACUAAAGCAAAAAGCAGAGGACGUGCUCCCUUACCUGAAUGACCGAUGUGUUUAUCUAGUUGGAAUGAUGGGUUCCGGCAAAACUACAGUUGGGAAGAUAAUAGCUGAAGUACUAGGCUAUUCAUUCUUUGACAGUGAUAAGCUGGUUGAGCAGUCUGUUGGCAUACCGUCGGUCGCUGAGAUUUUUCAGGUCCACAGUGAAGCAUUCUUCAGAGAUAACGAGAGUGAGGUACUAAGGGAUUUGUCGUCAAUGCACCGAUUAAUUGUUGCAACAGGAGGUGGUGCGGUGAUACGACCAAUCAAUUGGAGUUAUAUGAAGAAAGGACUCACUAUUUGGUUGGAUGUUCCAUUGGAUGCCCUUGCAAGAAGGAUUGCUGCGGUGGGUACUGCAUCACGACCCCUCCUGCAUCAGGAAUCUGGUGAUCCUUAUGCAAAGGCCUAUGCCAAACUUACAGCACUUUUUGAACAAAGAAUGGACUCAUAUGCUAAUGCUGAUGCUCGAGUUUCCCUUGAGAAUAUUGCAUUCAAACAAGGACAUAAUGAUGUGAAUGUACUUACACCAAGUGCCAUCGCUAUUGAGGCAUUGCUAAAGAUGGAGAGCUUUCUUACUGAGAAGGCCAUGGUCAGAAACUGA